GACGAACGCUGGCGGCGUGCCUAAUACAUGCAAGUCGAACGCUUCUUUCCUCCCGAGUGCUUGCACUCAAUUGGAAAGAGGAGUGGCGGACGGGUGAGUAACACGUGGGUAACCUACCCAUCAGAGGGGGAUAACACUUGGAAACAGGUGCUAAUACCGCAUAACAGUUUAUGCCGCAUGGCAUAAGAGUGAAAGGCGCUUUCGGGUGUCGCUGAUGGAUGGACCCGCGGUGCAUUAGCUAGUUGGUGAGGUAACGGCCACCCAAGGCCACGAUGCAUAGCCGACCUGGUGGGGUGAUCGGCCCACCGGGGACUGAGACCCGGCCCAGGCCCCUACGGGGGGCAGCAGGGGGAAAUCUUCGGCAAGGGACGAAAGUCUGCCCGAGCAACGCCGCGGGGGUGAAGAAGGUUUUCGGAUCGUAAAACCCUGUUGUUAGAGAAGAACAAGGCCGUUAGUAACCGAACGUCCCCUGACGGUAUCUAACCAGAAAGCCACGGCUAACUACGG
RNAcentral lists this ribosomal RNA (507 nucleotides) under uncultured bacterium. Its description in RNAcentral is "partial 16S ribosomal RNA". It matches the Rfam family "Bacterial small subunit ribosomal RNA", at positions 28 to 506 of the family's 1533-position model. The record is from RNAcentral.